Molecule: non-coding RNA, 113 nt
Organism: Anopheles sinensis
Lineage: Eukaryota; Metazoa; Arthropoda; Insecta; Diptera; Culicidae
Source: Rfam
AAUCACCCGAUAUAGCUGGUUGACAUCGGGUCAAAUCGUAAUAUUGUACAAGCAAUAUUUUCCCUUUGCGAAUGCAUUUGGUCCCCUUCAACCAGCUGUAGCAGUGAUUGAAC